This 497-nucleotide ribosomal RNA is filed under the name uncultured bacterium. Its description in RNAcentral is "partial 16S ribosomal RNA". It matches the Rfam family "Bacterial small subunit ribosomal RNA", at positions 28 to 507 of the family's 1533-position model. The record is from RNAcentral.
GAUGAACGCUGGCGGCGUGCCUAAUACAUGCAAGUCGAACGAACAGACCCGGAGCUUGCUCCUCACUCGUUAGCCGCGCGCGGGUGAGUCACACGUGGAAACCCUACCUCUCUUCCUGAUAUACCUUCGGGAAUCCGGCUCUUAUCCCGUAUGACAUUUUUAUCCGUAUGUUUCAACAGUGAAAUACGGUUUUGCUGUCACUUCUAGAUCUAUCCGCUCCUCAUUAGCUUGUUGGUAAGCUAACGGCUUACCAAGGCAACGAUGCGUAGCCGACCGGAGAGGGUGAUCGGCCACACGGGAACUGAGACACGGUCUAGAAUCAUAAGGGAGGCAGCAGUAGGGAAGCUUGCGCAAGGGGCGAAAGUUUGACGGAGAAACGAAGCGUGAGUGAAGAAGGUCGUCGGAUCGAAAAACUCUGUCAUGAGGGAAGAACAAAUGGGUAAGUACCUAUGCACGUCGUGACGGUACCUAAUGAGAAAGCCACGGCUAACUACGUG